This 490-nucleotide ribosomal RNA is filed under the name uncultured bacterium. RNAcentral describes it as "partial 16S ribosomal RNA". It matches the Rfam family "Bacterial small subunit ribosomal RNA", at positions 30 to 507 of the family's 1533-position model. The record is from RNAcentral.
AUUGAACGCUGGCGGCAGGCCUAACACAUGCAAGUCGAACGGUAACAGGAAGCAGCUUGCUGCUUCGCCGACGAGUGGCGGACGGGUGGGUAAUGUCUGGGAAACUGCCUGAUGGAGGGGGAUAACUACUGGAAACGGUAGCUAAUACCGCAUAACGUCGCAAGACCAAAGAGGGGGACCUUAGGGCCUCUUGCCAUCGGAUGUGCCCCGAUGGGAUUAGCUAGUAGGCGGGGUAACGGCUCACCUAGGCGACGAUCCCUAGCUGGUCUGAGAGGAUGACCAGCCACACUGGAACUGAGACACGGUCCAGACUCCUACGGGAGGCAGCAGUGGGGAAUAUUGCACAAUGGGCGCAAGCCUGAUGCAGCCAUGCCGCGUGUAUGAAGAGGGCCUUCGGGUUGUAAAGUACUUUCAGCGGGGAGGAAGGGAGUAAAGUUAAUACCUUUGCUCAUUGACGUUACCCGCAGAAGAAGCACCGGCUAACUCCGUG